Molecule: transfer RNA, 86 nt
Filed under: Peptostreptococcaceae bacterium
Lineage: Bacteria; Bacillati; Bacillota; Clostridia; Peptostreptococcales; Peptostreptococcaceae
Also listed under: 1 other name
Description: tRNA-Leu
Rfam family: tRNA
About the family: Transfer RNA (tRNA) molecules are approximately 80 nucleotides in length. Their secondary structure includes four short double-helical elements and three loops (D, anti-codon, and T loops).
Source: RNAcentral
GCCGACGUGGCGGAAUGGCAGACGCAGCGGACUCAAAAUCCGCCGCCCUCAAAAGCGUGUGAGUUCGAGUCUCACCGUCGGCACCA